CUGAUCUUUUGUUGUUAUUCUCCACUGGCUCUUAUUUUGUGAAGAGACACCCACUGAUGCACUUUUCAAGUACUUUGAUACUACAGCUGGUUUUGGCGUCCUCAGUGUUAUCUUCCAUUCCUUCCUUUUCCGUGAGGAAAGAUGCAGAGAAGCAUUUUUUGAGGAUUUUGUCAUGAUCUCUAGUUCUGACAACUUUGUUGUUAUUUUCAAGUCACUCUUUUUCCUUGAAGACAUUCGCACUGGCACACUCCUUAACAACUUUGUGUUUAAAUCUCG
This 276-nucleotide unclassified non-coding RNA is filed under the name Hevea brasiliensis (rubber tree). The record is from RNAcentral. Lineage: Eukaryota; Viridiplantae; Streptophyta; Magnoliopsida; Malpighiales; Euphorbiaceae.